RNAcentral lists this small nuclear RNA (21 nucleotides) under Arabidopsis thaliana (thale cress). Its description in RNAcentral is "snRNA_13731". The record is from RNAcentral. Lineage: Eukaryota; Viridiplantae; Streptophyta; Magnoliopsida; Brassicales; Brassicaceae.
GUUCCAACCAUGUAGUGGUGG